CUACUGUGCGAAGCAUGGAACAAUAAAUUCAAGCCUAUGGUCGGCCACACGCAUCCAACUGUUUGGAAGUUUAUCAAGAACCUGCAGCUCGAGGAACAAAGCGUUCGCACCGUUCUCGCACAAAACGCUAUCGGCAACCAACCUAGGAAACGAGUUCGUCGCGCAGUACAGGAACAUCAGAGGCGGCUGCAGAACCUGUGUGCGGACUACAAUGCAGGAACAAAAACCAUGGAGCAAUGCCUACGUGGCAUAGGACAUUGUAUUCGAAUUGGCAAUAUCGUGUAAUGUGCCGAAUCGAUCAACUGAAAUACCGUUACUCCAUGUGCCCACACAGACUUUGAUUUAACUACUUGUUAAACAUCUGAUCCCAUUUGAUGUGCUGUUUAUAGGCGGACAGGACUGGAUGUCAUACAUGUACGUAAAACUGCCUCCUGGAUGCACGGACUCUGGACACGACUCCGACAAGCAACGGAAAUACACAAUGGUUGAGGCACGGCUCAAACGCCUUAUCGGCGGCGUUUGGAAACUUACAAUGCCAAAGAUUGCCGAGUAUUGCUCAAAACGGAAACUGGUGGUCAUAUUAUUAACGUUUGGUUUGAUUGUAUUAGGCACAAAAUUAAAUGUAUCAACUAUGUUUAAAACGUCAAGGGAUGCACACCAAUAUUUAAUGCCGUAUCCGUGGAAAGUAGACGAAUCACUCAGACCAUAUUUCUCUUCGCCGCUCAGUAGCAUGGAUACUAACGACUUGUUACGGACGCUAGAGGUAUUCAUGCACACUCUUGACGCUGCCAACCUAACUUAUUUUAUGUACGGUGGGACCUUGAUAGGAUCCUAUCGAAACCACGGGCCAAUUCCUUGGGAUGAUGAUCUAGAUUUCUUAUGCGACUUAAAACAGAAACAGCAACUUCUUGACGCGCUUUCAAAACUUCGGCCAACUUUUAAGAUGUUCACCGGAUACCAGUGGAAAUUUUACAUGGAUGACCUGAACUUUAGGCAUAAUGUUGGCUUCUUCGGGCGCAAUAUCUUUCGUUACUUCUACCGCUGGUGUUGGCCCUUCGUCGAUAUCUUCUUUUACGAUGAGAACGCUACUCAUAUUUGGGACAGCACACCGUGGAACAAAGACGCGUUCGUUUGGAGAAAGGAGGACGUCUUUCCGCUAAAACGGCGGCCAUUUUCCUAUCUUUGGCCAUACGGCCCAAACAAUGCAAGAAAAGUCCUCGACACGAACUACAACAUCUCUGUUUGUGCCUCUAAUCAUCAGAACCACUUGACAGAGCAUUACUACAAGGAUAUCAAAGAAGUGGAGUGUGCCGUUUUGAGCAAGCAGUACCCCUUCGUUCACAGAACAGUGUUAUCAAAUGGCUCAGUGAAGGAGGAAUUGAUGCUCCCUGGGCAGACUCCAUUGCAAACUGUGAUACUCUAAGUCGCGUCUUCCUAAAUUGUGAUUAGUGACUGUCGGGGAAGCCCGGUUUACACUAUCACAUUAAUGAAAAACGGUCACAAAAAUUAUUUGUCGUUGAAGAGAUGAUCUAUAUGUUUUUUGGUGCCUUCCAUUCUACAAACAGGUUUUGCAAUCAAAUAUACCAUUUAUUAUGUACAAAAGUGUGCAUGUACAUGUAUAUACAAGUACCAUGUGCCAUUUAUUUUGUUGAUUAUGACUGAUUGUUUUUAUAAAUGACUGCUAGUUUGAUUUAUAGCAACACAUCACUUCCUUCUGCCACUUCCAAAUAAGUUGCAUUCUGGCACUGAAGAUGGCGUGAGAUGUGCAAGUGGGAUAAAACCCAGCUUCCGCGCUGCUUCGGCGUCAAUUAAAAGGUAGAGGCAGGCCCGAACAUUUUGGUCAUGUGUAUUGAUCUAGGCUGACAUACAUUCCUCCCUCCUUUCCACUGUCAAGAACCCUCACCUUUAUUAAACAAAUAAUAAAACCACGCGCUUGUGAAUAGGUUGCUUUUUACUGAACUU
RNA transcript from Lineus longissimus, 1962 nucleotides. RefSeq lists it as uncharacterized. Lineage: Eukaryota; Metazoa; Nemertea; Pilidiophora; Heteronemertea; Lineidae. The record is from RefSeq and is a predicted model, not a curated record. The transcript has 2 exons.